AAGCCUUAAACUUAUGAGUAAGGAAAAUAACGAUUCGGGGUCAUGCCCGAAUCCUCACUGUGAUGCCCCAAUACUCACUGCUAAUGUGAGACAAAUUUUUGUGUGGGUAAAUGUUGCCCCUAAGGUGACCCACCUACUUUGUGGGAUGCCUGGGAGUUGUGAUCUGCCCG
Molecule: small nuclear RNA, 170 nt
Organism: Molossus molossus (Pallas's mastiff bat)
Lineage: Eukaryota; Metazoa; Chordata; Mammalia; Chiroptera; Molossidae
Product: U12 minor spliceosomal RNA
Exons: 1
Source: RefSeq, a predicted model, not a curated record